CUGCGGCCGAUUAGGUAGUUGGUUAGGUAACGGCUUACCAAGCCAUUGAUCGGUACGGGUUGUGAGAGCAAGAGCCCGGAGAUGGAACCUGAGACAAGGUUCCAGGCCCUACGGGGUGCAGCAGGCGCGAAACCUCCGCAAUGUGAGAAAUCGCGACGGGGGGAUCCCAAGUGCCAUUCUUAACGGGAUGGCUUUUCAUUAGUGUAAAGAGCUUUUGGAAUAAGGGCUGGGCAAGACCGGUGCCAGCCGCCGCGGUAACACCGGCAGCUCUAGUGGUAGCAGUUUUUAUUGGGCCUAAAGCGUCCGUAGCCGGUUUAAUAAGUCUCUGGUGAAAUCCUGUAGCUUAACUGUGGGAAUUGCUGGAGAUACUAUUAGACUUGAGACCGGGAGAGGUUAGGGGUACUCCCAGGGUAGAGGUGAAAUUCUGUAAUCCUGGGAGGACCGCCUGUUGCGAAGGCGUCUAGCUGGAACGGUUCUGACGGUGAGGGACGAAAGUUAGGGGCGCGAACCGGAUUAGAUACCCGGGUAGUCCUAACUGUAAACGAUGCGGACUUGGUGUUGGGGUGGCUUUGAGCUGCUUCAGUGCCGAAGGGAAGCUGUUAAGUCCGCCGCCUGGGAAGUACGGUCGCAAGACUGAAACUUAA
RNAcentral lists this ribosomal RNA (644 nucleotides) under uncultured archaeon. RNAcentral describes it as "bacterial SSU rRNA". It matches the Rfam family "Archaeal small subunit ribosomal RNA", at positions 215 to 859 of the family's 1478-position model. The record is from RNAcentral.